AACCGCCUCAGAGCACAACAACAAACUCUUCACCUGCAUCAUCCUCAACAACACUGGAACAAGAUAAACAGCAAACAACCAGCAGCCUCCCUCUGGUUUUUGGCAUUCUGGGAGUUUUACUGCUGGUGAUAUCCGGUGUAGUGGCAUAUAUUUGUUGGAGACGCAAAGGAGGAAGAUGUGGAGAGAACGUGAUUACUGAAGGACGUCCGGACUGUAAGAGAAAGCAGAAGGAUCAGAUUGGGUCUGAUGUCACUGUAUUUACUACUGUUAUUUACACUUACUACUCUACUGACCCACAUGAACACAGCCGGAGCAGCAGAUCAUCACUGGACAGAAAACUGAAUAUGGCAGCAUUAUAACAAACUAAUCCAGAGUAAAUAUAGACACAUGCUCAGAUAUUAUAGAAUAAUGCUGAAAACAUAUAUUAAAUACGCUCUAUGGCCAGCACGGGAUUCACAAUAUUGACUUUUUCAGAUUUUUAUACAUAUUACAAUUAAAUAUCAGAUUCAGGCAUAAACAUGUGUGUUCCAUUUACUUAUGUUAGCUAAGUGUAUUGUUCCGCAUUCAUUGUUUAUCAUUAAUUGCUGAUGGAUAAUCUCGCUAAUUAUAUUUUGAGUGUACGUGUCAUUUUAUAUCUUAUGUGUACCAUACUUAUAUCAGGUUAAGAAAUGAAAGCUCUAGAAGGCUGUUGACAUCAUGCUGUUUUGUGUAAGAAGACUGCUAUAGAUGUUCUUAUUUGUGACUUUUAAUGACUGGGUAAAAAUAAAAGAAGGAGGAUUGUUGAAUCGGACUGAAUGUGUUUCUAAUCUAGCUUUUGUAAAAUUUUCAUAAUAGUCCUUAUAGAUUGUUACAGGUUUUUUUUGUUUAUUUUGUUUUUUUAAACAAUAUUGAGGUAAUUUUUUUCAAAGUUCACACAGUUAGCACAGCAGCGGUCUGAGUGGACUGAACUAUGGCUCAGUUUUUAUUGCUUGGAGACAAAAGACAUUGAAUAAGUUCAUCAUUCAAUAUUCAUGAAUUCUUUUUUCACACAAAUUCAACUUCCAGCAAAUCUCUGUGUAUCUACUGCACAUGUUUCCAAACUGUUGUGUACAGUUUA
Molecule: long non-coding RNA, 1096 nt
Organism: Ictalurus punctatus (channel catfish)
Lineage: Eukaryota; Metazoa; Chordata; Actinopteri; Siluriformes; Ictaluridae
Exons: 4
Source: RefSeq, a predicted model, not a curated record